This 654-nucleotide ribosomal RNA is filed under the name uncultured archaeon. Its description in RNAcentral is "bacterial SSU rRNA". It matches the Rfam family "Archaeal small subunit ribosomal RNA", at positions 508 to 1160 of the family's 1478-position model. The record is from RNAcentral.
GCCUAAAGCGUCCGUAGCCUGCCCUGUAAGUUUUCGGUUAAAUCUGUAUGCUCAACAUACAGGCCGCCGGGAAUACUGCAGGGCUAGGGAGUGGGAGAGGUAGACGGUACUCGGGAGGAAGUGGUAAAAUGCUUUGAUCUCUCGAUGACCACCUGUGGCGAAGGCGGUCUACCAGAACACGUCCGACGGUGAGGGAUGAAAGCUGGGGGAGCAAACCGGAUUAGAUACCCGGGUAGUCCCAGCUGUAAACGAUGCAGACUCGGUGAUGCGCUGGCUUGUGGCCAGUGCAGUGCCGCAGGGAAGCCGUUAAGUUUGCCGCCUGGGAAGUACGUACGCAAGUAUGAAACUUAAAGGAAUUGGCGGGGGAGCACCACAAGGGGUGAAGCCUGCGGUUCAAUUGGAGUCAACGCCAGAAAUCUUACCCGAAGAGACAGCAGAAUGAAGGUCAAGCUGGAGACUUUACCAGACAAGCUGAGAAGUGGUGCAUGGCCGUCGCCAGCUCGUGCCGUGAGAUGUCCUGUUAAGUCAGGUAACGAGCGAGAUCCCUGCCUCUAGUUGCCACCAUUACUCUCAGGAGUAGUGGGGCGAAUUAGCGGGACCGCCGCAGUUAAUGCGGAGGAAGGAAGGGGCCACGGCAGGUCAGUAUGCCCCGAA